UCCAUCCACAAAAAUUAUUUCUCCAAUUUCGAAGGGUGUUUCCUGUAGGUCUACUCUAGGCUUUACAACCUUUGCUAUUUCAUCAUGACAAUUAUUACAUUCUGAUAGUGUAUUGCCCUAGCAAUGGUGAGAUGCGAGGUUUUAGCCUGUAUUAAUAUGGAAUGUACAGCAUGAGGUACUUGUACUGUAAGGGGGCUCAUGAGAACUACAUCCGUGCUUGCUAAUACAGCUUCUGUUGUUGCAGCCACAGCACGAAGGCACGGAGGAAGCGCUGCGGCUACUGGAU
This is a long non-coding RNA of Erpetoichthys calabaricus (reedfish), 286 nucleotides long. RefSeq lists it as uncharacterized. NCBI's taxonomy places the organism in Eukaryota, Metazoa, Chordata, Cladistia, Polypteriformes, Polypteridae. The transcript is spliced from 2 exons. The record is from RefSeq and is a predicted model, not a curated record.